This 459-nucleotide ribosomal RNA is filed under the name uncultured bacterium. Its description in RNAcentral is "partial 16S ribosomal RNA". It matches the Rfam family "Bacterial small subunit ribosomal RNA", at positions 338 to 795 of the family's 1533-position model. The record is from RNAcentral.
CCUACGGGUGGCUGCAGUGAGGAAUAUUGGUCAAUGGGCGCGAGCCUGAACCAGCCAAGUCGCGUGAGGGAAGACGGUCCUAUGGAUUGUAAACCUCUUUUGUAGAGGAGUAAAAGAAGCCACGCGUGGCGUUCCGAGAGUACCCGAAGAAAAAGCAUCGGCUAACUCCUUGCCAGCAGCCGCGGUAAUACGGAGGAUGCGAGCGUUAUCCGGAUUUCUUGGGUUUAAAGGGUGCGCAGGCGGAAGAUCAAGUCAGCGGUAACAUUGGGGGGCUCAACCUCAUCGAGCCGUUGAAACUGGUUUUCUUGAGUGAGCGUGAAGUAGGCGGAAUGUGUGGUGUAGCGGUGAAAUGCAUAGAUAUCACGCAGAACUCCGAUUGCGAAGGCAGCAUACCGGCGUUCAACUGACGCUGAUGCACGAAAGUGUGGGUAUCGAACAGGAUUAGAUACCCGGGUAGUC